AAGCUCGUAGUUGAAUUUCGGGGUCAGUAGGUUGGUCGUGCCACCGGUACGUACUGGUCUCACUGAUUCCUCCUUCCUGAUGAGCUGUAAUGCCAUUAAUUUGGUGUUGCAGGGAAUCUGGACUGUUACUUUGAAAAAAUUAGAGUGUUUAAAGCAGGCUAACGCUUGAAUACAUUAGCAUGGAAUAAUGAAAUAGGACGUUCGAUCCUAUUUUGUUGGUUUCUAGGAUUGACGUAAUGAUUAAUAGGAUAGUUGGG
Molecule: ribosomal RNA, 257 nt
Filed under: uncultured Glomus
Lineage: Eukaryota; Fungi; Glomeromycota; Glomeromycetes; Glomerales; Glomeraceae
Description: partial 18S ribosomal RNA
Rfam family: Eukaryotic small subunit ribosomal RNA
Source: RNAcentral